Small nucleolar RNA from Prunus persica (peach), 105 nucleotides. The record is from Rfam. Lineage: Eukaryota; Viridiplantae; Streptophyta; Magnoliopsida; Rosales; Rosaceae.
CUCAAGAAUGUGUACCAGCUGUAAAUAUGGACGAAGAGUUAUAUGUUGGAUUUAGGUGGGCAUGCAAUGAGUCCGCAAUGCCCAUAAAGAACCGACAUUACAUGU